CCCUUAGAUGUUCUGGGCCGCACGCGCGCUACACUGAUGCAUUCAACGAGUCUAAAACCUGCUCUGAUAGGGGUGGGUAAUCUUUUGAAUGUGCAUCGUGAUUGGGAUAGAUGAUUGCAAUUUUUCAUCUUCAACGAGGAAUGCCUAGUAAACGCAAGUCAUCAGCUUGCAUUGAAUACGUCCCUGCCCUUUGUACACACCGCCCGUCGCUCCUACCGAUUGAGUGGUCCGGUGAGGCUUUGGGAUCUGAGCGGAAAGAGCGUUUCGCUGUUUCUGCCCGGAAAACUCAGUCGAACCUUAUCAUUUAGAGGAAGGAGAAGUCGUAACA
Molecule: ribosomal RNA, 328 nt
Filed under: uncultured eukaryote
Lineage: Eukaryota
Description: partial 18S ribosomal RNA
Rfam family: Eukaryotic small subunit ribosomal RNA
Source: RNAcentral